UACAGAGGGUGCGAGCGUUAAUCGGAAUUACUGGGCGUAAAGCGCGCGUAGGCGGCUUUGCAAGUCGGGUGUGAAAUCCCCGGGCUUAACCUGGGAACUGCAUUUGUGACUGCAUGGCUAGAGUGCGGCAGAGGGGGAUGGAAUUCCGCGUGUAGCAGUGAAAUGCGUAGAUAUGCGGAGGAACACCGAUGGCGAAGGCAAUCCCCUGGGCCUGCACUGACGCUCAUGCACGAAAGCGUGGGGAGCAAACAGG
This 253-nucleotide ribosomal RNA is filed under the name uncultured bacterium. RNAcentral describes it as "partial 16S ribosomal RNA". It matches the Rfam family "Bacterial small subunit ribosomal RNA", at positions 524 to 776 of the family's 1533-position model. The record is from RNAcentral.